AGUGCGCGGCCGGAGGAGGCGAGCGCUGGGGACGCAGCACCUGCCCCGCGCGGCCGAGAGGCGGCAGCCCCAGGUCCCCAGCGCGCGAAAUUAGUAAAGGGCGCCUGGCCCGAUUCUCAGGCAAGAGGAGAUUAUCAGCCGGAUUCCCGUGCGGGGACGUAGGGGUUGCGUUGUUCAGCGGCCAGGGAUGCGCCGAGGCGAUGUCUCCUCCCUUUACAACCCGAGUAUCGGGGCACGAGGAGGCGCGACCUUCCUGGGUACCCAAACCUCUGGCCUCCGGGAGACGCGGAAUUCGGGGGAUCGUUAAGGCGCCCUGGCCAGGGAAACAGAUGCUUCUGCGUCUGGGCUGAAAAUUGCUGAACCGGGGAAUGUGGGUGGGCGGGUGGCAUUGAACUUAGGCCAGAAGAGGGGGCUUUGGUAGGUUUUUACCUGCCUGUCCUUAGGCGGAGGACACUGGCUGGACAGGCUGCGUUACACACCUGAAGUCUCAUCCACGCAAAGUGCUUUCAGGUUGGAAUGUGGGGCGGGGGCGGGGGGAGGUCAGAGGGAACAGUUGCUGUAAAUUAGGUACAAGGAUCAAUUUGUGGUGUGUUGUGCGCGGGGGUGGGGCAUGUCGAAAGCCUUGUUAUUCGAAAGAAUGUGCUUUGAACGACGUUGCCACGGUCAUUCUACAUUAUGAAUCUACUGUUUCCUUGCAGAAGUGGCUCCCUUCGCCGCAACUCCACACCUCGGGGUAACCGUAGAGAUUGGCAGCAAUGCCCCAGCCCCUCACCAGCACUGUGCAAAGUGACUUUGACAGGCAGAGAAAAGCCAACCCAGUCGAAUUCGUCUGGAAAGCAUUCCAGCAACCCAGAGAGGAGCCUCUGUUUCUCUCUCUGGGAAAAAGCCCCAAGGGUUUUGCUGAACCCAGGUCUUCCUGCUCAUCUCUCAGCAGUUCAGAGCUACAUAAACAACUUCUGACCAUUUACGCAAUCAUGUAAACCUACCCUGACAUCUCCACUAUGUGGAAAAGAUGUUAACUGGAAAACUAUUUUUAAACUACUGCAGUAAGCAAAUAAACAUCCAACUCCAACAUAUAUAUGCAGCAGCCUUAUUAGUUCAUUCAGUGUUGGUUUGGUUUGUUUGUUUUGUCUUCUGCUUUUUAGAAUUAAUUAUUAUCUUUAUAAUUCCUGUUCGAGAAGUGGGCAAAACCAGGCUAGUGAUAGGUAUUGUUGUGGUCAAAUUUUUCAUCACUUGAAAUUCCAUGACUUUCAUGAUUGCUGAGAUUAAUGCUAAAUAAAGAAGUUACCCCCCCGCCCCCACCCCACCCCAACCUCCCCACCAAAGUUUCCUGAUUACUUAAACUUGGAGAGAAAUUUUCAGGCUUUUUCCUCCCUCCUUGCCUGGUAUGUGUCUGUAAUAGAGGUACUUUUGCAAAACUGGAAUGUUGGUGAUGCAGGUGUUUUCCAUGGUAAACAGCCACUGAGGAUCAAUGGUUCCCAGGUUCCCACUCACUUUGAAGGCUUUUGUGCUUCUGCCGGAACUGUGACUUUUACUACCUGUACUAUGUAUGAUUUUUUUUUACAUUGAUUAUUUCUCUGCAACUAGUCAAUUAAAAGUACAUAUAUAUAA
Molecule: long non-coding RNA, 1611 nt
Organism: Homo sapiens (human)
Lineage: Eukaryota; Metazoa; Chordata; Mammalia; Primates; Hominidae
Source: Ensembl